UGCCAGCCGCCGCGGUAAUACGUAGGUGGCGAGCGUUAAUCGGAUUUAUUGGGCGUAAAGGGUCCGUAGGAUGUCUGUCAAGUCGGGUGUGAAAUCACACGGCUCAACCGUGUUAAGCCGUAGAAACUGCGAGACUUGAGGCUGGGAGGGGCUGGUGGAAUUCCCUGUGUAGCGGUGAAAUGCGUAGAGAUGGGGGAGAACACUCGUGGCGAAGGCGGCCAGCUGGACCAGUUCUGACGCUGAGACGCGAAAGCGUGGGGAGCAAACAGGAUUAGAUA
This 278-nucleotide ribosomal RNA is filed under the name uncultured bacterium. RNAcentral describes it as "partial 16S ribosomal RNA". It matches the Rfam family "Bacterial small subunit ribosomal RNA", at positions 506 to 784 of the family's 1533-position model. The record is from RNAcentral.